This 465-nucleotide ribosomal RNA is filed under the name uncultured bacterium. Its description in RNAcentral is "partial 16S ribosomal RNA". It matches the Rfam family "Bacterial small subunit ribosomal RNA", at positions 338 to 795 of the family's 1533-position model. The record is from RNAcentral.
CCUACGGGGGGCAGCAGUGGGGAAUAUUGCGCAAUGGGCGAAAGCCUGACGCAGCGACGCCGCGUGAGGGAUGAAGGUCUUCGGAUUGUAAACCUCUGUCAGCAGGGAAGCACGGUCACUGUGCUAAUCAGCAGUGAAUUGACGGUACCUGCAAAGGAAGCACCGGCUAACUCCGUGCCAGCAGCCGCGGUAAUACGGAGGGUGCGAGCGGUAAUCGGAAUUACUGGGCGUAAAGCGCUCGUAGGCGGUAUGUCAAGUCAAGGGUGAAAUCCCCGGGCUCAACGUGGGAACUGCCUUUGAAACUGGCAAGCUGGAGUGUGUGAGAGGAAAGUGGAAUUCCAGGUGUAGGGGUGAAAUCCGUAGAUAUCUGGAGGAACAUCAGUGGCGAAGGCGACUUACUGGCACAUAACUGACGCUGAGGAGCGAAAGCGUGGGUAGCAAACAGGAUUAGAUACCCCGGUAGUC